Molecule: ribosomal RNA, 174 nt
Filed under: Triticum aestivum (bread wheat)
Lineage: Eukaryota; Viridiplantae; Streptophyta; Magnoliopsida; Poales; Poaceae
Description: partial small subunit ribosomal RNA
Source: RNAcentral
CUAAAUACUCCUGGGUGACCGAUAGCGAAGUAGUAUCGUGAGGGAAAGGUGAAAAGAACCCCCUUCUAUAUGGGUUGCCCGGGACUCAAACCCGGAACUAGUCGGAUGGAGUAGAUAAUUCUUCCUUGUUACAAUAGAGAAAAUCCCUCCCCAAAUCGUGCUUGCAUUUUUCAU